Molecule: ribosomal RNA, 257 nt
Filed under: Yersinia entomophaga
Lineage: Bacteria; Pseudomonadati; Pseudomonadota; Gammaproteobacteria; Enterobacterales; Yersiniaceae
Description: partial 23S ribosomal RNA
Rfam family: Bacterial large subunit ribosomal RNA
Source: RNAcentral
UGAAUCAGUUUGUGUGUUAGUGGAAGCGUCUGGAAAGUCGCACGGUACAGGGUGAUAGUCCCGUACACAAAAAUGCACAUGCUGUGAACUCGAUGAGUAGGGCGGGACACGUGACAUCCUGUCUGAAUAUGGGGGACCAUCCUCCAAGGCUAAAUACUCCUGACUGACCGAUAGUGAACCAGUACCGUGAGGGAAAGGCGAAAAGAACCCCGGCGAGGGGAGUGAAAUAGAACCUGAAACCGUGUACGUACAAGCAG